Ricinus communis (castor bean) is the source of this 408-nucleotide long non-coding RNA. RefSeq lists it as uncharacterized. The transcript has 2 exons. The record is from RefSeq and is a predicted model, not a curated record. NCBI's taxonomy places the organism in Eukaryota, Viridiplantae, Streptophyta, Magnoliopsida, Malpighiales, Euphorbiaceae.
GAGCGCCUUGUACUGUUCCUGGUUCUUGCCAUCUUGAAUCAUGGAGGGGUUUUUCCCAUAUUAACUUCUCAAGCACACAAUGCUUGGCAUGUCUCAGAUGAUACAUUUCAGAAACUACUGCGAGCAAGAUAACACGAGGGCUGGUGGAUGUAAAUAGGCACAGUUCAUUACUGAUGUUAUAGAGGACUAAAAGUUACCGUUUUUGCUUCCAUCUACAUUACAAGGCAGAAACUUCAAAAAAAACAGAGUGAAAAAGAAGUGUUGAAUGGGAAUGGGACACAAACAAGGAGAAGGACUUCAGUUUUUGGACUAACAAUCAGCAAGUACAACUAUAACAAUUACAAUUUGGAAUGGAUCAAGAAACAAGGCCAGAUGGGGGUAAAAGAAAGAAAGAACAUAAAAACAAAA